RNAcentral lists this ribosomal RNA (377 nucleotides) under uncultured bacterium. Its description in RNAcentral is "bacterial SSU rRNA". It matches the Rfam family "Bacterial small subunit ribosomal RNA", at positions 521 to 896 of the family's 1533-position model. The record is from RNAcentral.
UAAUACGUAGGGUGCGAGCGUUGUCCGGAUUUAUUGGGCGUAAAGAGCUCGUAGGCGGUUUGUUGCGUCGGCUGUGAAAACCUACAGCUUAACUGUGGGCCUGCAGUCGAUACGGGCAGACUUGAGUUCGGCAGGGGAGACUGGAAUUCCUGGUGUAGCGGUGAAAUGCGCAGAUAUCAGGAGGAACACCGGUGGCGAAGGCGGGUCUCUGGGCCGAUACUGACGCUGAGGAGCGAAAGCGUGGGGAGCGAACAGGAUUAGAUACCCUGGUAGUCCACGCCGUAAACGGUGGGUGCUAGGUGUGGGGGACUUCCACGUCCUCCGUGCCGCAGCUAACGCAUUAAGCACCCCGCCUGGGGAGUACGGCCGCAAGGCUA